ACCUGGUUAGCUCAGUUGGUAGAGCGAUCCACUAGAAAUGGAGAGGUCCCGGGUUCGAUACCCGGACCAGGCG
Molecule: transfer RNA, 73 nt
Filed under: Ixodes scapularis (black-legged tick)
Lineage: Eukaryota; Metazoa; Arthropoda; Arachnida; Ixodida; Ixodidae
Rfam family: tRNA
About the family: Transfer RNA (tRNA) molecules are approximately 80 nucleotides in length. Their secondary structure includes four short double-helical elements and three loops (D, anti-codon, and T loops).
Source: Rfam by way of RNAcentral